This 889-nucleotide ribosomal RNA is filed under the name Escherichia coli. RNAcentral describes it as "partial 23S ribosomal RNA". It matches the Rfam family "Bacterial large subunit ribosomal RNA", at positions 344 to 1238 of the family's 2925-position model. RNAcentral also lists the same sequence under 1 other name. Lineage: Bacteria; Pseudomonadati; Pseudomonadota; Gammaproteobacteria; Enterobacterales; Enterobacteriaceae. The record is from RNAcentral.
GGAAAGGCGUGCGAUACAGGGUGACAGCCCCGUACACAAAAAUGCACAUGCUGUGAGCUCGAUGAGUAGGGCGGGACACGUGGUAUCCUGUCUGAAUAUGGGGGGACCAUCCUCCAAGGCUAAAUACUCCUGACUGACCGAUAGUGAACCAGUACCGUGAGGGAAAGGCGAAAAGAACCCCGGCGAGGGGAGUGAAAAAGAACCUGAAACCGUGUACGUACAAGCAGUGGGAGCCUCUUUAUGGGGUGACUGCGUACCUUUUGUAUAAUGGGUCAGCGACUUAUAUUCUGUAGCAAGGUUAACCGAAUAGGGGAGCCGAAGGGAAACCGAGUCUUAACUGGGCGUUAAGUUGCAGGGUAUAGACCCGAAACCCGGUGAUCUAGCCAUGGGCAGGUUGAAGGUUGGGUAACACUAACUGGAGGACCGAACCGACUAAUGUUGAAAAAUUAGCGGAUGACUUGUGGCUGGGGGUGAAAGGCCAAUCAAACCGGGAGAUAGCUGGUUCUCCCCGAAAGCUAUUUAGGUAGCGCCUCGUGAAUUCAUCUCCGGGGGUAGAGCACUGUUUCGGCAAGGGGGUCAUCCCGACUUACCAACCCGAUGCAAACUGCGAAUACCGGAGAAUGUUAUCACGGGAGACACACGGCGGGUGCUAACGUCCGUCGUGAAGAGGGAAACAACCCAGACCGCCAGCUAAGGUCCCAAAGUCAUGGUUAAGUGGGAAACGAUGUGGGAAGGCCCAGACAGCCAGGAUGUUGGCUUAGAAGCAGCCAUCAUUUAAAGAAAGCGUAAUAGCUCACUGGUCGAGUCGGCCUGCGCGGAAGAUGUAACGGGGCUAAACCAUGCACCGAAGCUGCGGCAGCGACACUAUGUGUUGUUGGGUAGGGGAGCG